GCUACUUCUAAAAAUAAGUAGUGUAGCCUGGUCAGUGAUUAUUUAAUAUUUAAAUAAUUAAACACACGCCUUAUAAUGAGGGUGAUAAUGUAGCAUAAUAAUUUGACAUUUAAUUGGUGUAUUGUAUGAAUGGUAUUAUGAUUCUUUAUUUGUCUCAAUGCUAUAUUUUACUAAAUUAAAAUAAUUAUAAAAAUAUAAUUUAAAUAAUAUAAGACGAAAAGACCCCAUAAACCUUUACUAAAUAUUGUUUAACUGGGACGGUUAUCUUUUAAAAUAACAAAGAUUAUAAAAUUUUUUCUAAUAUGAAUUGAUUGACCACUUUUACGUAAAGAAGUUUAAAAAGAUAAUAGGUACUUUGGGGGUAACAGAGCAAUAUAAUAUUGAAGAUGACAUUUAAUGUUAAGUUUGCUACCUCGAUGUUGAAUUAAAUUUUCCAAAGGUGUAGAAGCUAAUAAGGUAGGACUGUUCGUCCUUUAAAAAUUU
RNAcentral lists this ribosomal RNA (483 nucleotides) under Solmundella bitentaculata. RNAcentral describes it as "partial large subunit ribosomal RNA". It matches the Rfam family "Bacterial large subunit ribosomal RNA", at positions 1832 to 2597 of the family's 2925-position model. The record is from RNAcentral. Lineage: Eukaryota; Metazoa; Cnidaria; Hydrozoa; Narcomedusae; Aeginidae.